This 441-nucleotide ribosomal RNA is filed under the name Salmonella enterica subsp. enterica serovar Enteritidis. RNAcentral's name for it is "bacterial SSU rRNA". It matches the Rfam family "Bacterial small subunit ribosomal RNA", at positions 106 to 543 of the family's 1533-position model. Lineage: Bacteria; Pseudomonadati; Pseudomonadota; Gammaproteobacteria; Enterobacterales; Enterobacteriaceae. The record is from RNAcentral.
GUGAGUAAUGUCUGGGAAACUGCCUGAUGGAGGGGGAUAACUACUGGAAACGGUGGCUAAUACCGCAUAACGUCGCAAGACCAAAGAGGGGGACCUUCGGGCCUCUUGCCAUCAGAUGUGCCCAGAUGGGAUUAGCUUGUUGGUGAGGUAACGGCUCACCAAGGCGACGAUCCCUAGCUGGUCUGAGAGGAUGACCAGCCACACUGGAACUGAGACACGGCCCAGACUCCUACGGGAGGCAGCAGUGGGGAAUAUUGCACAAUGGGCGCAAGCCUGAUGCAGCCAUGCCGCGUGUAUGAAGAAGGCCUUCGGGUUGUAAAGUACUUUCAGCGGGGAGGAAGGUGUUGUGGUUAAUAACCGCAGCAAUUGACGUUACCCGCAGAAGAAGCACCGGCUAACUCCGUGCCAGCAGCCGCGGUAAUACGGAGGGUGCAAGCGUUA